UACGUAGGGCGCAAGCGUUGUCCGGAAUUAUUGGGCGUAAAGGGCGCGCAGGCGGUCCGUUAAGUCCGAGGUGAAAUCUCCCGGCUCAACUGGGAGGGGUCUUCGGAUACUGGCGGACUUGAGGAGUGCAGAGGUGAGUGGAAUUCUCGGUGUAGUGGUGAAAUGCGUAGAUAUCGAGAGGAACACCAGUGGCGAAGGCGGCUCACUGGGCACCACCUGACGCUGAGGCGCGAAAGCGUGGGGAGCGAACAGG
Molecule: ribosomal RNA, 253 nt
Filed under: uncultured bacterium
Lineage: Bacteria
Description: partial 16S ribosomal RNA
Rfam family: Bacterial small subunit ribosomal RNA
Source: RNAcentral